CUUGUACUCACUCCGUCUGAAAAUACUUGUCAUUGAAAUGGAUGUAUCUAGAUGUAUUUUAGUUCUAGACACAUCCAUUUUGAUGACAAGUAAUUACGGAUGGAGGGAGUACUUG
Molecule: non-coding RNA, 115 nt
Organism: Triticum aestivum (bread wheat)
Lineage: Eukaryota; Viridiplantae; Streptophyta; Magnoliopsida; Poales; Poaceae
Source: Rfam